Molecule: ribosomal RNA, 429 nt
Filed under: uncultured bacterium
Lineage: Bacteria
Description: bacterial SSU rRNA
Rfam family: Bacterial small subunit ribosomal RNA
Source: RNAcentral
CGGGGAAUAUUGCGCAAUGGGGGAAACCCUGACGCAGCGACGCCGCGUGAGCGAUGAAGGCCUUAGGGUUGUAAAGCUCUGUUUUAAGGGACGAAUGUUACGGGGAGUAAUAUACCCUGUAAAUGACGGUACCUUAAGAGGAAGCCCCGGCUAACUACGUGCCAGCAGCCGCGGUAAGACGUAGGGGGCGAGCGUUGUCCGGAAUUACCGGGCGUAAAGAGCACGUAGGCGGGAACUUAAGUCAGGUGUGAAAGACCGGGGCUCAAACUCGGGGGUGCACUUGAAACCGGGUUUCUUGAGGGCAGGAGAGGAAAGUAGAAUUCCUGGUGUAGCGGUGAAAUGCGUAGAAAUCAGGAGGAAUACCGGUGGCGAAGGCGACUUUCUGGACUGACCCUGACGCUGAGGUGCGAAAGCGUGGGUAGCAAACAG